RNAcentral lists this ribosomal RNA (468 nucleotides) under uncultured bacterium. Its description in RNAcentral is "partial 16S ribosomal RNA". It matches the Rfam family "Bacterial small subunit ribosomal RNA", at positions 28 to 507 of the family's 1533-position model. The record is from RNAcentral.
GACGAACGCUGGCGGCGUGCUUAACACAUGCAAGUCGAACGGAAAGGCCCUGCUUUUGUGGGGUGCUCGAGUGGCGAACGGGUGAGUAACACGUGAGUAACCUGCCCUUGACUUUGGGAUAACUUCAGGAAACUGGGGCUAAUACCGGAUAGGAGCUCCUGCUGCAUGGUGGGGGUUGGAAAGUUUCGGCGGUUGGGGAUGGACUCGCGGCUUAUCAGCUUGUUGGUGGGGUAGUGGCUUACCAAGGCUUUGACGGGUAGCCGGCCUGAGGGGGUGACCGGGCACCAUGGGAUUGGUGGAGGGGCCGGGAUCCAACGGGGAGAAGGAGUGGGGGAUAUGGCGACAGGGGGGGAAGGCCGAAGCAGUAACGCCGGGGUACGGGUAACGGCCCUGGGGGUGGAAACCGCUUUCGCCUGUGACGAAGCGUGAGUGACGGUAAUGGGUAAAGAAGCACCGGCUAACUACGUG